GGGAGAGAGAGCCUGGCCGCCGCGGCGGUGGCGUCGGCGACGGCGCGACCGUACAACGUGACCCAUCCCUUCGGGAUGUGUCAUGCUCGCGAGGAAAGUCCCCCCACCUGUUUGGGCAGGUGACCGGACGCAAGUCCGGAGCGGGAGACCGCUGGCUCUGGAACAGAAACGACACGUCUCGGCCCGACCGAUGAUGCGCGCGAACCCGACCGAGAGGAAGGGGAGUUGACCCGCAGAGGGAUGCGCGGUCCUACGGACCGCGAAACGUGAGGCGGCGCGAGCCGCCGAACUGGCGAGCGGCACACGCCGCGAGCCGCGUGCAGUCGUCAAACCGUGGUUCGAAUCCACGGGUCACGUUCGUCGUGAUCGACCGCACACGGACGGCCGAGGAUCGAUGGAACGGCGAACCCUCACCGGUGCAAGUCCGUGCCGUGGUAGCCCGAACACCCCGUGGCUCCGCCACGGACGGCACGGACGCUAAGCCGAAUGCCGGGCCGAACAGAAGGGGGCUUACUCCUCUCACCC
RNAcentral lists this RNase P RNA (525 nucleotides) under Natrinema ejinorense. RNAcentral's name for it is "RNase P RNA component". It matches the Rfam family "Archaeal RNase P". From Rfam's summary of the family: Ribonuclease P (RNase P) is a ubiquitous endoribonuclease, found in archaea, bacteria and eukarya as well as chloroplasts and mitochondria. Its best characterised activity is the generation of mature 5'-ends of tRNAs by cleaving the 5'-leader elements of precursor-tRNAs. The record is from RNAcentral. Lineage: Archaea; Methanobacteriati; Methanobacteriota; Halobacteria; Halobacteriales; Natrialbaceae.